CCUAUCCCUGGGAUAAUAGUAUGAUACUACCGACAGAACCCUCCACACAAUCUGCAGACCUUCCUGUUGGCAGGCGGUUUGAACCGUGUUAUGAUUGCGUACUCGGCGGCAACUGUGACGAAUGUUAUAAGUGGGUUCAUCCAACUGGUGUACCUGAUAUAAUGUAUCCAUAGAGAUUGAAAUAGAGUGAUGCCCAGAA
Long non-coding RNA from Maniola jurtina (meadow brown), 199 nucleotides. RefSeq lists it as uncharacterized. The transcript is spliced from 2 exons. The record is from RefSeq and is a predicted model, not a curated record. NCBI's taxonomy places the organism in Eukaryota, Metazoa, Arthropoda, Insecta, Lepidoptera, Nymphalidae.